UGGGGAAUCUUGCGCAAUGCGCUUAAGCGUGACGCAGCAACGCCGCGUGGGCGAAGAAGGCCUUCGGGUUGUAAAGCCCUUUCAGUUGGGACGAAGCUUUGCCGGUGAAUAGCCGGUUGGAGUGACGGUACCUUCAGAAGAAGCCCCGGCUAACUACGUGCCAGCAGCCGCGGUAAUACGUAGGGGGCAAGCGUUGUCCGGAAUCAUUGGGCGUAAAGCGCGUGUAGGCGGUUUGGUAAGUCUGCUGUGAAAGUCCAGGGCUCAACCCUGGAAUGCCGGUGGAUACUGUCGAACUAGAGUCCGGAAGAGGCGAGUGGAAUUCCUGGUGUAGCGGUGGAAUGCGCAGAUAUCAGGAGGAACACCAAUGGCGAAGGCAGCUCGCUGGGACGGUACUGACGCUGAGACGCGAAAGCGUGGGGAGCAAACAGGAUUAGGUACCCUGGUAGUCCACGCCGUAAACGAUGGGCACUAGGUGUGGGGGGUGUCGACUCCCUCCGUGCCGACGCUAACGCAUUAAGUGCCCCGCCUGGGGAGUACGGCCGUAAGGCUA
Molecule: ribosomal RNA, 550 nt
Filed under: uncultured bacterium
Lineage: Bacteria
Description: bacterial SSU rRNA
Rfam family: Bacterial small subunit ribosomal RNA
Source: RNAcentral